AAGCCAUGCAUGUCUAAGUAUAAACAAAUUUAUACAGUGAAACUGCGAAUGGCUCAUUAAAUCAGUUAUAAUUUAUUUGAUAUUCACUUACUACUUGGAUAACCGUGGUAAUUCUAGAGCUAAUACAUGCGUACAUAACCUCGACUUCUGGAAGAGGUGCACUUAUUAGAUAAAAAGCCAACGCGGGCAACCGCUUGUAUGGUGAUUCAUAAUAAUUAAGCGAAUCGCAUGGCCUUGUGCCGGCGAUGAUGCAUUCAAAUUUCUGCCCUAUCAAGUUUCGAUGGUAGGUUAGUGGCCUACCAUGCUUUUAACGGGUAACGGGGAAUUAGGGUUCGAUUCCGGAGAGGGAGCCUGAGAAACGGCUACCACAUCCAAGGAAGGCAGCAGGCGCGCAAAUUACCCAAUCCCGACACGGGGAGGUAGUGACAAUAAAUAACAAUACAGGGCCUUUACGGGUCUUGUAAUUGGAAUGAGUACAAUUUAAAUCCCUUAACGAGGAACAAUUGGAGGGCAAGUCUGGUGCCAGCAGCCGCGGUAAUUCCAGCUCCAAUAGCGUAUAUUAAAGUUGUUGCAGUUAAAAAGCUCGUAGUUGAAUUUUGGCCUUGGGUGGUUUGGUUUGGCCUUCAUUGGUCAAUGCCUUUUCCGCCUAGGUCUUACCUUCUGGGUUAGCUARUGUCAUUUCGGUGGCGUUAGUGAACCAGAACUUUUACUUUGAAAAAAUUGGAGUGUUUAAAGCAGGCUUUCAAGCCUGAACAUAUUAGCAUGGAAUAAUGAAAUAGGACUUUGGCCUUAUUUCGUUGGUUUCUAAAGCCAAAGUAAUGAUGAAUAGGGAUAGUUGGGGACAUUAGUAUUCAAUUGUCAGAGGUGAAAUUCUUGGAUUUAUUGAAGACUAACUUCUGCGAAAGCAUUUGUCAAGGAUGUUUUCAUUAAUCAAGAACGAAAGUUAGGGGAUCGAAGACGAUCAGAUACCGUCGUAGUCUUAACCAUAAACUAUGCCGACUAAGGAUCGGAUGGUGUUAUAUUUUAUAUUGACCCAUUCGGCAUUUCAGCGAAAGCCAAGUUUUUGGGUUCCGGGGGGAGUAUGGUCGCAAGGCUGAAACU
Molecule: ribosomal RNA, 1101 nt
Filed under: Umbelopsis microsporangia
Lineage: Eukaryota; Fungi; Mucoromycota; Umbelopsidomycetes; Umbelopsidales; Umbelopsidaceae
Description: SSU rRNA
Rfam family: Eukaryotic small subunit ribosomal RNA
Source: RNAcentral